Molecule: small RNA, 8546 nt
Filed under: Pan troglodytes (chimpanzee)
Lineage: Eukaryota; Metazoa; Chordata; Mammalia; Primates; Hominidae
Description: retained intron
Source: RNAcentral
ACUCGACUCCUGUAUUUUCACAGAAAAUGACGGUGUGGAUUCUGCUCCUGCUGUCGCUCUACCCUGGCUUCACUAGCCAGAAAUCUGAUGAUGACUAUGAAGAUUAUGCUUCUAACAAAACAUGGGUCUUGACUCCAAAAGUUCCUGAGGGUGAUGUCACUGUCAUCUUAAACAACCUCCUGGAAGGAUAUGACAAUAAACUUCGGCCUGAUAUAGGAGUGAAGCCAACAUUAAUUCACACAGACAUGUAUGUGAAUAGCAUUGGUCCAGUGAACGCUAUCAAUAUGGAAUACACUAUUGAUAUAUUUUUUGCGCAAACAUGGUAUGACAGACGUUUGAAAUUUAACAGCACCAUUAAAGUCCUCCGAUUGAAUAGCAACAUGGUGGGGAAAAUCUGGAUUCCAGACACUUUCUUCAGAAAUUCCAAAAAAGCUGAUGCACACUGGAUCACCACCCCCAACAGGAUGCUGAGAAUUUGGAAUGAUGGUCGAGUGCUCUACACCCUAAGGUUGACAAUUGAUGCUGAGUGCCAAUUACAAUUGCACAACUUUCCAAUGGAUGAACACUCCUGCCCCUUGGAGUUCUCCAGUUGUAAGUAAUAUUCCUUCUCCAUUUGUAUCCUCCCUCACCUACAGUCUUUCUGAUUGCCAUGUUAAUUAAUUGAAAGAAGCAUAACAAAUUUCAAAGUUGUAUUAAGUUAUGUUACUGACUUCGAUGAUUUUGACCAUCUCUUUCAUCUUAAUCCCAGCUGGCUCCGAUUAGGGUGAUUCCUGCAAAAGAAGGGCUGAUUUUAUUAAGAAUUACAAUAGGUUUCCUUGAGUUGCAAACUUUUAAUAUAUUGGUUGCAUAGAGCCUUUUUUUUUUUUUUUUUCUGUAAGGGAUUGUAAAGCCAACCCUGGACUCAAUAGAAAAGGUGCAGUCUUUAAUUAUAUAUCCUCUUCCUUUCUCUCCUAUGGGCCUAGGAAGGGACUAUAGCAGCACAUUGCUAGUUAAGGCCUGCCCCACAGGACAAUUAUUUCAUUGAUAAAAUAUAUGUGAACUACUACUUGACACACAUAAGAUCAAAUAUAAAACCAUUAUUUUUACAUUUAUUAUUUUUAUCAGAUAGAUAAUAGAAUGUAGCAAGAAGAUCCAUGAUGAUCUAACACAGAUUAUGCUUUAGUAACCUUUACAAAUAUUUCCUGCCUGAAUCAAAGCCAAGCAAACCUAAAUUUCCCAAAACAUUUUCCUUACUAUUUGUUCAGCAUCCAUGAAAGGUCAAUUGCUUCUUUUACGUUUUUUGUCUGCCAGUUGUACAUAUUGGACAGAAUAAAAAUCUGAUUAUAGAUUUUAAAAGUAUGUUUGUAGAAAUGUAAUUUCUCAACCAGGGAGUCCACCAAGUCAUAGUAAUCACAGUUUGAAAAACGUUGAUGAUCAGAGAAGUAAUCACCUGUUUAUCACUUCAUCAAUACCAGAGGAAACCAGAGGAAAAACAUCACUGGACAUCAUAUUUACCUAGAAAAAUUCUCAUUAUAAAACUUAUUUCAUGUUUUCCUGAAUCCAAGAAUGAAAUAUGUUUAAUUAUAAAGUUAAAGCUUCCCUGUGCUUUAGAGAGACAAGCCUUCCUUUCUUUUAAUACUCCAAUUGGGACUACUUCUUUCUUGCGUCAGCUAAAAUUCAAGAACUGUUGAUUUCUCUGCCAUCAGGUGGCCAGUUGAAAAUGGUCCUCUGAACCCAAACACAAUUUAAUAUUACUCAUUGCUAUCAGAAUAAUUCAGUCACCAGCACAUUCUCUGCCUCAUAUCAUCAUUGUUUUUUUUGUUGUUGUUGUUUUGUUUUGUUUUGUUUUGGACAGGGUCUCGUUCUGUUGCCCAGGCUGGAAUGUGCAGUGGUGUGAUCUCGGCUCACUACAGCCUUUGCUUCUGGGGCUCAACUGAUCCUCCCACCUCGGCCUCCAGAGUAGCUGGGAUUUCAGGCACGCACCACCAUACCCAGCUAAUUUCUGUAUUUUUUGUAGAGAUGGGGCGUCGCCAUGUUGCCUAAUCUGGAUAUUAUCACUGUUUUCCUCAAUUUUCAUCACAUACUAUCAUAUCUCUCUCCAUCCCCUCCAUCUCUUCUAGGGACUCUCUCUUUUUUUUCCUCCCUCUUUAAUUAAUAUAAACAUAUAAUAGAUAAAGCUGCAUCAAAAGGAACAGAAAGGGGAAACUAUGUGGGAUUUUAUUCCAAGUACUCAAUCAGUGUUCAUAAUCAAACUAAUCUUUAAAUGGCAUUAUUAUUUAUUAUCACAUAAUAAUUAGUAUUAUUAGUAGACAAACUGUUAAAAUGAUUUCUGAUUUUUAUUUAUUUUCUUGAAAAAGUUAAUUCUGCAGUUGACUUCAUAAUAAUGUUUAUCCAUUCAACAAAUAUACAUUGACCAUCAAUUCCGUGAGAUAAGUACUAUUAUCCUCCCUAUAAGAGGACAAACAAUUUAGGAGGAAAAAUAUACACUUGUCUAGGGUAGAAUGGCUGGGAAAUGGUACUCAUAACCACUACUUUAUCUCACCUCCCCAGUGUGAUGUCUUCAAUGAAUACUCUCUGUUCUAUUAGUACAAGCUCAUUGAUGUCUUCCUCUUAGCAUUUCUACCUACUACUGCUUUGAAUUGUGUAUUUCUGUGUAUAUUAAAAUGGAGUCCCAACAAAUUGAGAAAGAAAGAUAAUAAAUAAUUUAGGUUAUUUUUUCCAACUAUCUUCCACUUCAAAUGCAUUCUUUGGAGAAGUUUUGAGUCUGUACUGUCUUAUUAUUUUCUAUUUCUGUGUGACUCAAAAUCUUGCUCUGUUAACUGCCUUUCACUGUGAUACAAGACUUUGUAUUUCUACUAUUUAUUAUAGACUGGUCACUUGGUAUGCACUAUUCCAGAUGAUGUAAAGUAUGCAUAUGGCAUAUAUAAAAUCACAUGUAGUAUACCUUCUAUGUCAUUUAAAUUAUUUUCAAGAGUAAAUUUGACCUUUGGAUUUUUGAAUCUAACUUUCCAUUAGGAUGCAAUGUCAUUGUAAUUUAUGUCCUCAUUGCAAUGCCCUUUUGUAACUGGGGGAGAAUAUUGCCAAGAUCCUCAUUUAGCUUGUAACUAUCUUUCUCAGUCUUUACCUCAGUGUCAUGUUCAUAGAAGAUGGUUGCUACAUAUGCUAAUUUAUAAUCAUUUUUAAUGUGAGCUUUCCUAUCUCACGGCAGAUGGCUAUCCACGUGAAGAAAUUGUUUAUCAAUGGAAGCGAAGUUCUGUUGAAGUGGGCGACACAAGAUCCUGGAGGCUUUAUCAAUUCUCAUUUGUUGGUCUAAGAAAUACCACCGAAGUAGUGAAGACAACUUCCGGAGAUUAUGUGGUCAUGUCUGUCUACUUUGAUCUGAGCAGAAGAAUGGGAUACUUUACCAUCCAGACCUAUAUCCCCUGCACACUCAUUGUCGUCCUAUCCUGGGUGUCUUUCUGGAUCAAUAAGGAUGCUGUUCCAGCCAGAACAUCUUUAGGUAUCACCACUGUCCUGACAAUGACUACCCUCAGCACCAUUGCCCGGAAAUCGCUCCCCAAGGUCUCCUAUGUCACAGCGAUGGAUCUCUUUGUAUCUGUUUGUUUCAUCUUUGUCUUCUCUGCUCUGGUGGAGUAUGGCACCUUGCAUUAUUUUGUCAGCAACCGGAAACCAAGCAAGGACAAAGAUAAAAAGAAGAAAAACCCUGUAUGUAUCAUUUUCCAUUGGGACCAUUGAAAUUUUUAUGAUUUCAGUUUAGUUUGUUUUCAUUAGCCUAUCUGCAGGCUAAGGCUCAGCAGUUUGGGCUCCAAGAUGAAAACAGCAUGUAUGAGUUUAGCCAGGCCAUAAUGAUUCAUUUAUGGUCAUUAGUUACUUGAGAGAGACUCAAGUCUGUUUCUAUUUUCUAUGUCAGGGUUCUUAUGCAAAUAUAAUUACCUGCUCUCUUUAUUUUGUGGAGACUAGAGCCAUUUUUGAGAAAUGCGACCUUCUUCUUGUUGCUAUUAUUCCAGGUUUCACUGAUUUUUUGAGAUGGAGUGUCACUCUGUUGCUCAGGCUGGAGUGCAGUGGUGGGAUCUCGGCUUACUGCAACCUCCGCCUCCUGGGUUCAAGCAAUUCUCCUGCCUCAGCCCCCUGAGUAGCUGGGACUAUAGGCACAUGCCACCAAGCCUGGUUAAUUUUUGUAUUUUUAGUACAGAUGGGGUUUCACCAUAUUGGUCAGGCUGGUCUCAAACUCCUGACCUCAGGUGAUCCACCUGUCUCGGCCUCCCAAAGUGCUGAGAUUAGAUGCGUGAGCCACUGCGCCUGGCCAUGAUAAUAUUAUUAAAUUACUGAUGUUUUAAAUUAAAACUUCCAUUUAAGGCAUUCCACUAGGAAGCUAUAAGGUCUUUGAAGUUUCAAGGCUGACUACAUUUUUGCAAAUGAUUUAGUGUGUGUAUGGAGGUGGAGUGUGGGUAUUGUCACCAGAUAAUUUCUAUUGAUUUCAUUCUUGAAAUGUAUCUUUUUGUUUUUAAAACAAAUGAUUUACUAUUAUAUGGGCAAGUUAGUUAGCCUCCUUGUGUGUGAUAUAUAUAUAUAUAUAUAUAUAUAUAUAUAUAUAUAUAUAUAGUGUAUUAUUUAAAAACACUCGUCUUAUGGGGCUGCUAUGAGAAAUAAAUGUGGCAAUGAAGGGCAAAACAAAAAAUCCCAAAAUAUUACAUAGUACUGUACACAUGAAUGUACUUAACAUUAGUAGUUGGUGAUGAUAGUUGAUUUUGAUGAUUUAUACGGUUUCCAGCCUGGAUUGACUUCAGUGCCACAAUUUGAAAACAGGGAGGAUGACUUCUACUUGCAACCAAACUUUAAAUAGUGAGGAUGAGGCAUAAACACAAAUGCCUAAAGCAACUGUUUUUUAUUGUGAGUGUUGAGGAGAGCACAUAGUUACCCAUUUACACACCUGAACAAAGUGGCUGGCUCAUAGAAAUCCCCAUGAAAGUUAAGGUCCAUUCCCUUCCAGGAUAUGGGCAAAGAAAAUCACCUGACAAUCCUGGAUCAUGGCCUUCUGCUUUGAGAGCCAUAAUACGCUCUACCUAUCCAACCCAGAGACUUUGGAGGUUGAAUUGUAAGGAAGGAAUUUAGCUGAUUCUAGGUUGUAUUCUGAUGCAGCUGCAGAAACCCAAGUGAAGUACUACAAGAGUAAUGUGUUUAUUUGAAUGUAAGACUUUGGAACAUGGAAAGAAAGAAACAUCAUUAUUCUUGAUUUAAAAAAUGCUUUCUUUAAUUGCUCAAAUAUUUACAAUGCUUUAUGCAGUCCUUCCCUUCCCUGUCUGUUUUGCCUCUCUCUGACUUUCCAUUUUCUUUAUCCUUGUUUUAUUUUCCUUGUUGUGUUGUUUUUGUUUGCUCCCUCUUGUUCACUUUCCAUUUCACUCUCCCUCAAGAAGGUGGUUCUAUUGAGAGUUGGCAUAUUACCUGCCAGCUAUAACAAGGACAUGAGGAGUGGCUUUCAAACAAGUUCUGAUGAGUCCUUUGGAAAAAGCCCCUUGGCCCUCUCUGUCAGCUACGCCAUUGCAGAGUAGAUUUUGUUGCAAAGAUAGAGGCAGAUUCCCUUAUUCAGGGUCAUGGAAAUGGCAGAAGAAGAAAAGGCAGAGGAGAACAGGAUAAAAAUUUGAGAAAAUGAAAUUACCUGAGAAUUUCAUGCACUUCUUUUUAGGCAAUUAGAUGAUUUAUCAGAACUAGCAAGAAAAUAAACAAGGAAUGAGAAGCUGAAAGUUUAUUUUCCUGUUUAAUAUGCCUUUUGGAUAAUUGUGUCAAGACUCACCUAUUAAGUUAUCCUUGAUGAUAAUUAGAAAAUAGAAUCAUGAUAUUUUUAAACAGGGGAACCAGGCAAUAGAAAACUUCCUUGCAAUUGAACAACUCUGGCUUCUUCAGUCAAAUAAUUGUAGAUUAAUUUAUUAAAAAUUUCACUAGUAAUUACAAAAUUACACUUAACUUUAAGCAAAUACUUUAUCCCAAGCUCAGAACUCUCCUUCUGUGUUUAUAAUUUCAGUUCAUUUCACUUACUGUGUUUUCAAAAUGUAUUUUUAAUUUAUCUUGUCUCUCUCUUUUUUUUCGUUUCUUUUUUUCUCCUUUUUAUUAAAAACAAAUGCAAUUCUCUUUUCUGUCUACAAACCCAAAGCUUCUUCGGAUGUUUUCCUUCAAGGCCCCUACCAUUGAUAUCCGCCCAAGAUCAGCAACCAUUCAAAUGAAUAAUGCUACACACCUUCAAGAGAGAGAUGAAGAGUACGGCUAUGAGUGUCUGGAUGGCAAGGACUGUGCCAGUUUUUUCUGCUGUUUUGAAGAUUGUCGAACAGGAGCUUGGAGACAUGGGAGGAUACAUAUCCGCAUUGCCAAAAUGGACUCCUAUGCUCGGAUCUUCUUCCCCACUGCCUUCUGCCUGUUUAAUCUGGUCUAUUGGGUCUCCUACCUCUACCUGUGAGGAGGUAUGGGUUUUACUGAUAUGGGUCUUAUUCACUGAGUCUCAUGGAGAGAUGUCUGUUCUAAGUCCACUUAAAUAAUCCUCUAUGUGGUUGAUAAUGAUCUGAAUCUGUUUCUAUGUCCAAACCUGGUAAAUUUUAUAAUGUCAUAUUGUUUGUGCCCAGCCCUCCUUUGGUUAGUGUACUUUGAACUUCGAUGUUUGCUGUGUUUCAAACCUGCAAGGCAAAGUAAAAUUAGAGCAAGAACAUUCAAACCAAAUAAGAUAUUUUUCAGCUACAGCAAAUGAAACAGUGAAAGCCCUGACUAUUUACAGUAGUGGUAUCCUUACUAGAUUCAUAAUGCAAUUAGAUAGAAAAGGUCCAAAACUGUACCCUAUGUUCACUCCGGGUCAAGUUGUGAUAAAUUUGAUCCCAGUAGAAUACCUCCCUCAUUUAAGAAAAAUCAUAACUCACUUUAAAUAUGAAAGCCUAGUCCAGAAAUCUAUUUCACCUUUAUCUCAAGAUAGGAAGAAAAUUUCCUCCACAUUCAUGUACAAUGAUGUAAAUAUUUCAAUAACUUAGAAUGCUUCAAGUUUAGUGCAUGCAUCUCUUUAGAUCCAAAAUAAAUGGAUUGAAGUUAUCAUCCUAUUGUCUUUUAUUUUGUGUCCUUGGGCUAUAAAAGAAUCCUGAAUGUAAUUAUAAGGAUUUGGGUUUGGAAAUGGAGGGAGGAAUUUUCAUUGCCUUCUCCCUCAUGCAUGAAGAUUCGAACAGCUUAUUUUUUCCUUGUAUGACAUAUUACAACACUUUAAGUAAAAUAUAGACUGGAUAAUCAACAUUUGCCACCUCUAAAUAUGCCCAAUUUCAUAACUAGAGUAUAAAGUAAUUGUAUGUGCUUGCCGCUAUUUUUUUCUUCCUUUUAGGAUGAUAGAUCAUAACAGAACUUAUUCUCCAUCUCAAGAUCUGCUUCUAGUGAUUGUGAGUGCCUUGUGGGCAGAAUCCUUGUCAUUUCCUCUUUGGGUCCGUAGCACCUUGCAUAGUGCCUGGCACAUAGUUGGUGCUCAAUAAAUAUGGUUUGAAGUGAAUUGCCCUCACAUGCUUCUGGCAAAUCUCUGUGCUGGCCUGAAACCAGUGAUUCAUCUUCUCACAUAGGUGUUGUCAAGUGAUAUUUGAUUUUGUAAAAAUAACCAGUAGGAUCCAAAGAACUUUAGCUAUUUAUGUUCAUCUUCAAAAAAUUAUUUUAGGCAAAGUCCAUACUCCUUUUAAAACAAUAUUUAUGUCCUAUGUUUGUGUAUAGAAAUGACUCUACUAGGGCAUAAUUAGAGUUUGUGUAUUAUUUUUCCAGGUUUGGGGAUGAGUCAGUCCUUGCCCAUCCACAAUUUUGUUUGUGAACUUAUAACAGGAAUAAGCAAAAUUCAUACCUGACUAGUGUUCAGAAUGUAGCAUUCUGUGCGAAAAAGUAUUGAAGAUUAGCUUUUAAAAACUGAAAAAAAAAAAAAAAAUGAAUGACUCACAUAGAGGUUGAGCCAAUGACUGUGGCCUCAUUAGAUUACAUUGUAGUUAAACAAAGCAAUUUCUCCAGACUUAAAACAUGAUGAGUUGAGCUCUAUCUUCAUGUACUCAUCCUGAAUCCUUAUUUUUCUAAAAUAGCACCCUUUGUUAAUUAUUUUUAUGGAAAUUAUUACUCUGUCAUAAUUAAAUCAUAGCUAGUAUAACUUUACAGAUAACCUAAAAAGAAUAGAAAAGAAGAGAGAGCGGCUUUGUCAAUAUAAAACCAUGUAAAGUCAUCAUCAAGUCAUCUGGAUGAAUCUUGAAACACAUUUAGCUGCCAGUUUUACAAACCUUUAAUAUAUCAGUGCUCCAGUAUAUAACCUCAAACAAAUGUAAAUAGAAUGAAUUAUUUUCUUGUUUUGAAUUGUCAGUAUAUUAAAUGUUGACUCUUUGGGAGAGUUGUUGGCAAGUUUCAAUGGUGAGAAACAUAUUAUUGUCAACUUGAAAUGUGUUCUGUAAUGGGGACACUACAAAAAGCUAGCUUUCCAAUGUGUGCAUAGUAUUGGCAAUAUGAAUAUAUAUUAUAUAUAAUCUAAUAAUUAUUAUAAGCUGCUCCCUGUCUAUGUAUUUGGAAACCUUUUCACAAAGGGAAUU